AUAAGUUGCUCCCCAAGCAACCUAUUAUCCUCAUUUGAGUUGGUGAUCGGUCCCCUUUGCAAUUCAUCUUCCCCAACUGAGGUGUUCAUGUUUUGUGUUCCCCAGUUGUGACUUAACGAUUGAACCUUGGUUAUCUCAGAACCUUUAUUUGGUCUUCAGAUCCCCAUUUACAUUUGUGUUUCAUAAUCACAGCAGUUUCUUCCCUGGGCGAGUCAG
Molecule: long non-coding RNA, 216 nt
Filed under: Lathyrus oleraceus (garden pea)
Lineage: Eukaryota; Viridiplantae; Streptophyta; Magnoliopsida; Fabales; Fabaceae
Description: Pisum sativum (pea) long non-coding RNA (PSAT_LNC023608)
Source: RNAcentral